GGGCUGGUAGUUUAGUCUGGUAGAAUGCCUGGUUGGCAAUCAGGAGAUCCUGGGUUCAAAAUGCAUGAGCGGCUGAGACUUUCGAGUAGAUACUGACUCUUUAGGUCGCUUGGGUGUGAUAGUCCCAGUCAGUCCA
This 136-nucleotide transfer RNA is filed under the name Candidatus Woesearchaeota archaeon. Its description in RNAcentral is "tRNA-Ala". It matches the Rfam family "tRNA". Rfam says of the family: Transfer RNA (tRNA) molecules are approximately 80 nucleotides in length. Their secondary structure includes four short double-helical elements and three loops (D, anti-codon, and T loops). Lineage: Archaea; Nanobdellati; Candidatus Woesearchaeota. The record is from RNAcentral.